GUUAGAUUUAAGAUACCGCCUGCCCUAUGAUAAAUGGCCGCGGUACUCUGACCGUGCUAAGGUAGCAUAAUCAGUUGACUUUUAAAUGAAGUCUGGAAUGAAAGGCUGGGGGUGAGCUGUCUCUUUUCUAGUCCAUUGAAAUUACUUUUGGGGUGAAAAAGCCCUAAUAUAUAAAAAAGACGAGAAGACCCUAGGAGUUUAAAUUUUGUUGGGGCGACAAGGGACUCCCUUAAAAAAUUGGACAACAAGCCGAUUAAAUAAGAAAGGCAAAACUACCCUAGGGAUAACAGCAUUAUUUAAGUUUGUGACCUCGAUGUUGGACUAGGGCAAGUACAGGCGAGCUGUCUGUAUUUUAGGUUCUGUUCGAACUUUAUCCCCUACGUGAUCU
RNAcentral lists this ribosomal RNA (388 nucleotides) under Pupa sulcata. RNAcentral describes it as "partial large subunit ribosomal RNA". It matches the Rfam family "Bacterial large subunit ribosomal RNA", at positions 1840 to 2606 of the family's 2925-position model. Lineage: Eukaryota; Metazoa; Mollusca; Gastropoda; Acteonidae. The record is from RNAcentral.